This 498-nucleotide ribosomal RNA is filed under the name uncultured bacterium. RNAcentral describes it as "partial 16S ribosomal RNA". It matches the Rfam family "Bacterial small subunit ribosomal RNA", at positions 28 to 507 of the family's 1533-position model. The record is from RNAcentral.
GACGAACGCUGGCGGCGUGCCUAAUACAUGCAAGUCGAACGAGAGCGACCGGUGCUUGCACUGGUCAAUCUAGUGGCGAACGGGUGAGUAACACGUGGGUAACCUGCCCAUCAGAGGGGGAUAACAUCCGGAAACGGAUGCUAAAACCGCAUAGGUCUUCGAGCCGCAUGGCUUGAAGAGGAAAAGAGGCGCAAGCUUCUGCUGAUGGAUGGACCCGCGGUGCAUUAGCUAGUUGGUGAGGUAACGGCUCACCAAGGCCGUGAUGCAUAGCCGACCUGAGAGGGUGAUCGGCCACAUUGGGACUGAGACACGGCCCAAACUCCUACGGGAGGCAGCAGUAGGGAAUCUUCCGCAAUGGACGCAAGUCUGACGGAGCAACGCCGCGUGAGUGAAGAAGGUUUUCGGAUCGUAAAACUCUGUUGUUAGGGAAGAACAAGUGCUAGAGUAACUGUUAGCGCCUUGACGGUAUCUAACCAGAAAGCCACGGCUAACUACGUG